This 533-nucleotide unclassified non-coding RNA is filed under the name Pichia kudriavzevii. RNAcentral's name for it is "partial contains small subunit rRNA, ITS1, 5.8S rRNA, ITS2 and large subunit rRNA". The stretch from base 158 to 310 matches the Rfam family "5.8S ribosomal RNA". The record is from RNAcentral. Lineage: Eukaryota; Fungi; Ascomycota; Pichiomycetes; Pichiales; Pichiaceae.
GGAAGUAAAAGUCGUAACAAGGUUUCCGUAGGUGAACCUGCGGAAGGAUCAUUACUGUGAUUUAGUACUACACUGCGUGAGCGGAACGAAAACAACAACACCUAAAAUGUGGAAUAUAGCAUAUAGUCGACAAGAGAAAUCUACGAAAAACAAACAAAACUUUCAACAACGGAUCUCUUGGUUCUCGCAUCGAUGAAGAGCGCAGCGAAAUGCGAUACCUAGUGUGAAUUGCAGCCAUCGUGAAUCAUCGAGUUCUUGAACGCACAUUGCGCCCCUCGGCAUUCCGGGGGGCAUGCCUGUUUGAGCGUCGUUUCCAUCUUGCGCGUGCGCAGAGUUGGGGGAGCGGAGCGGACGACGUGUAAAGAGCGUCGGAGCUGCGACUCGCCUGAAAGGGAGCGAAGCUGGCCGAGCGAACUAGACUUUUUUUCAGGGACGCUUGGCGGCCGAGAGCGAGUGUUGCGAGACAACAAAAAGCUCGACCUCAAAUCAGGUAGGAAUACCCGCUGAACUUAAGCAUAUCAAUAAGCGGAGGA